GAUGAACGCUGGCGGCGUGCUCAACACAUGCAAGUCGAACGGUGAAGCAGGAGCUUGCUCUUGUGGAUCAGUGGCGAACGGGUGAGUAACACGUGAGCAACCUGCCCCUGACUCUGGGAUAAGCGCUGGAAACGGCGUCUAAUACUGGAUAUGUGAUGUGACCGCAUGGUCUGCAUCUGGAAAGAAUUUCGGUUGGGGAUGGGCUCGCGGCCUAUCAGCUUGUUGGUGAGGUAAUGGCUCACCAAGGCGUCGACGGGUAGCCGGCCUGGGAGGGGGACCGGCCACACGGGGACUGGGACACGGCCCAGGCUCCUACGGGAGGCAGCAGUGGGGAUGAUUGCACAAGGGGCGGAAGCCUGAUUCAGCAACGCCGCGUGAGGGAUGACGGCCUUCGGGUUGUAAACCUCUUUUAGCAGGGAAGAAGCGAAAGUGACGGUACCUGCAGAAAAAGCACCGGCUAACUACGUGCCAGCCGCCGCAGUAA
This 484-nucleotide ribosomal RNA is filed under the name uncultured bacterium. RNAcentral describes it as "partial 16S ribosomal RNA". It matches the Rfam family "Bacterial small subunit ribosomal RNA", at positions 28 to 523 of the family's 1533-position model. The record is from RNAcentral.